This is a long non-coding RNA of Xenia sp. Carnegie-2017, 390 nucleotides long. RefSeq lists it as uncharacterized. NCBI's taxonomy places the organism in Eukaryota, Metazoa, Cnidaria, Anthozoa, Malacalcyonacea, Xeniidae. The record is from RefSeq and is a predicted model, not a curated record. The transcript has 5 exons.
CGUCGCGAAAGCGUUGAAAAUAAAGUUCUCAAUGCUGUUUAGUGAGUUUGUUGAUUGUUGCUUGCAAAAGAACCUAAGAAUCGACCAUCGGCCCGUAUGUUGCUCAAUCAUGCAUUCUUCAAACAAGCUAAAAGAAAAUCAAACGAAGUUUACCUGAACUGUUACUUCCUGUGCGUCCUCAAACUUUUGACAAUGUUGCUAUUUCCAAUGAAGAGAUAAAACUGCAAACGUUUGCUCUGUGACCGAAAGUUUGGAUAAACUCGAUGUCAGUUCUUGGAACUUUUAAACUUUUAUUUUCGUUACAAGUUUAUAAAGAGAAGAGCGUGUUGUAAUUAAAUAAAUCACUUAGUGAUUUGAAAUAAACGAAAUUUGGGUGACGUGUCCUGUAAA